UGAUAGAACUCUGGAGAGAUUUAUACAAAAAAGCACCGAAGGGGCAAUUCCUAAUCGUUAGGAGAUCUAUACAGAAUUUACCAAAAGAAAUACUUUCUAUUUUUAUGGGAAGAAUCUUUCAGGUAAAAAGGACAGAGUAAAGAAG
Molecule: non-coding RNA, 145 nt
Filed under: Atribacterota
Lineage: Bacteria; Pseudomonadati
Description: Candidatus Atribacteria Glycine sequence
Rfam family: Glycine riboswitch aptamer
About the family: This family represents the bacterial glycine riboswitch. Glycine riboswitches usually consist of two metabolite-binding aptamers domains with similar structures in tandem.
Source: RNAcentral